This 449-nucleotide ribosomal RNA is filed under the name uncultured bacterium. Its description in RNAcentral is "bacterial SSU rRNA". It matches the Rfam family "Bacterial small subunit ribosomal RNA", at positions 328 to 794 of the family's 1533-position model. The record is from RNAcentral.
GGUCCAGACUCCUACGGGAGGCAGCAGUGGGGAAUAUUGCACAAUGGGGGGAACCCUGAUGCAGCGACGCCGCGUGGGUGAAGGAGCACCUCGGUGCGUAAAGCCCUAUCGGCAGGGAAGAAACAGACGGUACCUGACUAAGAAGCCCCGGCUAACUACGUGCCAGCAGCCGCGGUAAUACGUAGGGGGCAAGCGUUAUCCGGAUUCACUGGGUGUAAAGGGAGCGUAGACGGCGACGCAAGUCUGGAGUGAAAGCCCGGGGCUCAACUCCGGGACUGCUUUUGAAACUGUGUUGCUAGAUUGCAGGAGAGGUAAGUGGAAUUCCUAGUGUAGCGGUGAAAUGCGUAGAUAUUAGGAGGAACACCAGUGGCGAAGGCGGCUUACUGGACUGUAAAUGACGCUGAGGCUCGAAAGCGUGGGGAGCAAACAGGAUUAGAUACCCUAGUAAA